Molecule: ribosomal RNA, 367 nt
Filed under: uncultured bacterium
Lineage: Bacteria
Description: bacterial SSU rRNA
Rfam family: Bacterial small subunit ribosomal RNA
Source: RNAcentral
GAUGAACGCUAGCGGGAGGCCUAACACAUGCAAGCCGAGCGGUAUUGUUUCUUCGGAAAUGAGAGAGCGGCGUACGGGUGCGGAACACGUGUGCAACCUGCCUUUAUCUGGGGGAUAGCCUUUCGAAAGGAAGAUUAAUACUCCAUAAUAUAUUGAUUGGCAUCAAUUAAUAUUGAAAGCUCCGGCGGAUAGAGAUGGGCACGCGCAAGAUUAGCUAGUUGGUGAGGUAACGGCUCACCAAGGCGAUGAUCUUUAGGGGGGCCUGAGAGGGUGAUCCCCCACACUGGUACUGAGACACGGCCCAGACUCCUACGGGAGGCAGCAGUGGGGAAUUUUGGACAAUGGGGGNAACCCUGAUCCAGCCAUG